UCAAGUGACUAAGUGCAUGUGGUGGAUGCCUUGGCGAUUACAGGCGACGAAGGACGUGAUAGCCUGCGAUAAGCUUCGGGGAGCUGGCAAAUUAGCUUUGAUCCGGAGAUUUCCGAAUGGGGAAACCCACCGAAAGGUAUCGCACACUGAAUACAUAGGUGUGCGAGGCGAACCGGGUGAACUGAAACAUCUCAGUAGCUCGAGGAAAAGACAUCAACCGAGAUUCCGAAAGUAGUGGCGAGCGAAAUCGGAACAGCCUGCGCGUUUUAGCCAUCGACUUAUCAGAACGGAAUGGAAAGUCCGGCCACAGCGGGUGAUAGCCCCGUAUGAAAAAAGUUGGUGGUGGAACUAGGCGCGCGACAAGUAGGGCGGGACACGUGAAAUCCUGUCUGAAGAUGGGGGGACCAUCCUCCAAGGCUAAAUACUCGUAAUCGACCGAUAGCGAACUAGUACCGUGAGGGAAAGGCGAAAAGAACCCCGGGAGGGGAGUGAAAUAGAUCCUGAAACCGCAUGCAUACAAACAGUCGGAGCCCGCAAGGGUGACGGCGUACCUUUUGUAUAAUGGGUCAGCGACUUACAUUCAGUGGCAAGGUUAACCGAAUAGGGUAGCCGUAGAGAAAUCGAGUCCGAAUAGGGCGUUCAGUCGCUGGGUGUAGACCCGAAACCAAGUGAUCUAUCCAUGGCCAGGAUGAAGGUGAGGUAACACUUACUGGAGGUCCGAACCGACUAGUGUUGCAAAACUAGCGGAUGAGCUGUGGAUAGGGGUGAAAGGCUAAACAAACUUGGAAAUAGCUGGUUCUCUCCGAAAACUAUUUAGGUAGUGCCUCAAGUAUUACCAUCGGGGGUAGAGCACUGUUAUGGCUAGGGGGUCAUGGCGACUUACCAAACCAUUGCAAACUCCGAAUACCGAUGAGUACAGCUUGGGAGACAGUGCACCGGGUGCUAACGUCCGGACACAAGAGGGAAACAACCCAGACCGCCAGCUAAGGUCCCUAAAAUUGGCUAAGUGGGAAACGAAGUGGGAAGGCUAAAACAGUCAGGAUGUUGGCUUAGAAGCAGCCAUCAUUUAAAGAAAGCGUAAUAGCUCACUGAUCGAGUCGUCCUGCGCGGAAGAUGUAACGGGGCUAAGCCAGUUACCGAAGCUGCGGA
This 1149-nucleotide ribosomal RNA is filed under the name Burkholderiaceae bacterium. Its description in RNAcentral is "partial 23S ribosomal RNA (partial)". It matches the Rfam family "Bacterial large subunit ribosomal RNA", at positions 3 to 1206 of the family's 2925-position model. The record is from RNAcentral. Lineage: Bacteria; Pseudomonadati; Pseudomonadota; Betaproteobacteria; Burkholderiales; Burkholderiaceae.